Molecule: ribosomal RNA, 588 nt
Filed under: Polycarpa cf. obscura HA-2022
Lineage: Eukaryota; Metazoa; Chordata; Ascidiacea; Stolidobranchia; Styelidae
Description: SSU rRNA
Rfam family: Eukaryotic small subunit ribosomal RNA
Source: RNAcentral
UAGUGAUAUGCUUGUCUCAAAGAUUAAGCCAUGCAGGUGUAAGUACGAGUUGUCGUAAAGCGAAACUGCGAAUGGCUCAUUAAAUCAGUCUUGGUUUAUUUGGUCUCGAUGCGAAGUGGACAACUGUGGUAAUUCUAGAGCUAAUACAUGCGUCAAGCGCCGACUUCGGGAGGCGUGCUUUUAUCAGAUCAAAACCGACCGGGUUCGCCCGUCUCUUUUGAUGACUCUGGAUAACCACGCGGAUCGCACGGUCUCUGCACCGGCGACGUACCAUUCAAGUGUCUGCCCUAUCAACUUUCGAAGGUAGGCUACGGGCCUACCUUUGUGAUAACGGGUAACGGGGAAUCAGGGUUCGAUUCCGGAGAGGGAGCCUGAGAAACGGCUACCACAUCCAAGGAAGGCAGCAGGCGCGCAAAUUACCCAUUCCCGACACGGGGAGGUAGUGACGAAAAAUAACAAUACAGGACUCUAACGAGGCCCUGUAAUUGGAAUGAGUACAUUCUAAAACUCUUAACGAGUAUCCAUUGGAGGGCAAGUCUGGUGCCAGCAGCCGCGGUAAUUCCAGCUCCAACAGUAUAUACUAAAUUU